RNAcentral lists this ribosomal RNA (253 nucleotides) under uncultured bacterium. RNAcentral describes it as "partial 16S ribosomal RNA". It matches the Rfam family "Bacterial small subunit ribosomal RNA", at positions 524 to 776 of the family's 1533-position model. The record is from RNAcentral.
UACGGGGGGGGCAAGCGUUGUUCGGAAUUACUGGGCGUAAAGGGCUCGUAGGCGGCCAACUAAGUCAGACGUGAAAUCCCUCGGCUUAACCGGGGAACUGCGUCUGAUACUGGAUGGCUUGAGGUUGGGAGAGGGAUGCGGAAUUCCAGGUGUAGCGGUGAAAUGCGUAGAUAUCUGGAGGAAUACCGGUGGCGAAGGCGGCAUCCUGGACCGACAUUGACGCUGAGGAGCGAAAGCUAGGGGAGCAAACGGG